Molecule: long non-coding RNA, 743 nt
Organism: Puntigrus tetrazona (Sumatra barb)
Lineage: Eukaryota; Metazoa; Chordata; Actinopteri; Cypriniformes; Cyprinidae
Exons: 4
Source: RefSeq, a predicted model, not a curated record
CCAAGCUCAUUUGACACAGAAUUUGUAUCGGCUUACCCCAAACGCAACUUCAGAGUGAAGCACGAAAACCCAGCUGAAAAGAGGUCGGUUUCAGGAUCCUGGAACGAGAAUGUCGACUCCUAUACCCAUUUGUCAUCCAGCUGCAACAACCAGUACAAACAACAGCAACAGCUGAGGUUACCACAAAUGCUCCAGUGCCUGUCUUUCUCCAACAGAUAAAAGGGCUUUCAUUUCUUCAUGGACUUAAGGCAUUUCUAGAAGGCCAACCAAAGGCCCUUGGGACAGUCCAGAUAAUGAUCGGUGUGAUGACUUUCCUGUUUGGCAUUGUGUCUACAGUUCAUGCAGAAUCCGUCUUUGUCUUUAUUGGUUUACCGUACUGGGGAUCUAUCACUAUGCCAGUGGUCCGCAGCUCUUCUGUGAACCACCAAGAACCCGAAUACUGUAAUUGUGAAUAAAUAUGAAUUAUUAAAAAUGUUGGAACUUUUGUGAGACACACGGAUUUCCCAAUAAUUUCCUGUCCAUUAUCUGAUAAUUAUGUCAAAAACUAUUCAAAACUAGAUGAGAUGUUAUUUUAUGAAGUUCAAGUUUCAAGAAAGUUACAUGCCAAUUAUAAACAUGUUUAUUGUAAUAAGGUAUUAUAAAAUGAGUAUUGUUAAAAGAUUCUCCAUUGUCUGUAAUUUGGCUGAAGAAAUGUGUGAGUUUAUAAUAAUUUAAAUUGUUAAAACAACCUAUUCAGGCAAUUU